Molecule: ribosomal RNA, 435 nt
Filed under: Bacillus cereus
Lineage: Bacteria; Bacillati; Bacillota; Bacilli; Caryophanales; Bacillaceae
Description: bacterial LSU rRNA
Rfam family: Bacterial large subunit ribosomal RNA
Source: RNAcentral
GUUUGGUUAAGUUAGAAAGGGCGCACGGUGGAUGCCUUGACACUAGGAGUCGAUGAAGGACGGGACUAACGCCGAUAUGCUUCGGGGAGCUGUAAGUAAGCUUUGAUCCGAAGAUUUCCGAAUGGGGAAACCCACCAUACGUAAUGGUAUGGUAUCCUUAUCUGAAUACAUAGGGUAAGGAAGACAGACCCAGGGAACUGAAACAUCUAAGUACCUGGAGGAAGAGAAAGCAAAUGCGAUUUCCUGAGUAGCGGCGAGCGAAACGGAACAUAGCCCAAACCAAGAGGCUUGCCUCUUGGGGUUGUAGGACAUUCUAUACGGAGUUACAAAGGAACGAGGUAGACGAAGCGACCUGGAAAGGUCCGUCGUAGAGGGUAACAACCCCGUAGUCGAAACUUCGUUCUCUCUUGAAUGUAUCCUGAGUACGGCGGAACA